CGGAGGGUGCAAGCGUUAUCCGGAUUUACUGGGUUUAAAGGGUGCGUAGGUGGGUAAGAAAGUCAGUGGUGAAAUCUUCGGGCUUAACCCGGAAACUGCCAUUGAUACUAUUUAUCUUGAAUACUUUGGAGGUAAGCGGAAUAUGUCAUGUAGCGGUGAAAUGCUUAGAUAUGACAUAGAACACCAAUUGCGAAGGCAGCUUACUACACAGUCAUUGACACUGAGGCACGAAAGCGUGGGGAUCAAACAGGAUUAGAUACCCUGGUAGUCCACGCCCUAAACGAUGGAUACUCGACAUCAGCGAUGCACUGUUGGUGUCUGAGCGAAAGCAUUAAGUAUCCCACCUGGGAAGUACGAUCGCAAGAUUG
This 368-nucleotide ribosomal RNA is filed under the name uncultured organism. RNAcentral's name for it is "bacterial SSU rRNA". It matches the Rfam family "Bacterial small subunit ribosomal RNA", at positions 526 to 896 of the family's 1533-position model. The record is from RNAcentral.